CUGGCGGCGUGCUUAACACAUGCAAGUCGAGCGAAGCACUUUGGAAAGAUUCUUCGGAUGAUUUCCUUUGUGACUGAGCGGCGGACGGGUGAGUAACGCGUGGGUAACCUGCCUCAUACGGGGGGAUAACAGUUAGAAAUGACUGCUAAUACCGCAUAAGACCACGGUACCGCAUGGUACAGUGGUAAAAACUCCGGUGGUAUGAGAUGGACCCGCGUCUGAUUAGGUAGUUGGUGGGGUAACGGCCUACCAAGCCGACGAUCAGUAGCCGACCUGAGAGGGUGACCGGCCACAUUGGGACUGAGACACGGCCCAGACUCCUACGGGAGGCAGCAGUGGGGAAUAUUGCACAAUGGAGGAAACUCUGAUGCAGCGACGCCGCGUGAAGGAUGAAGUAUUUCGGUAUGUAAACUUCUAUCAGCAGGGAAGAAAAUGACGGUACCUGACUAAGAAGCCCCGGCUAACUACGUGCCAGCAGCCGCGGUAAUACGUAGGGGGCAAGCGUUAUCCGGAUUUACUGGGUGUAAAGGGAGCGUAGACGGCACGGCAAGCCAGAUGUGAAAGCCCGGGGCUCAACCCCGGGACUGCAUUUGGAACUGCUGAGCUAGAGUGUCGGAGAGGCAAGUGGAAUUCCUAGUGUAGCGGUGAAAUGCGUAGAUAUUAGGAGGAACACCAGUGGCGAAGGCGGCUUGCUGGACGAUGACUGACGUUGAGGCUCGAAAGCGUGGGGAGCAAACAAGAUUGGUUACCCCUGGUAUUCCCCCCCCUUAAACGAAGAAUGGUUAGGUGUCGGGGGGCAAAGCCAUUCGGUGCCGCAGCUAACGCAAUAAGCAGUCCCCCUGGGGGAGUACGUUCGCAAGAAAGAAACUCAAAGGAAUUGACGGGGACCCGCACAAGCGGUGGAGCAUGUGGUUUAAUUCGAAGCAACGCGAAGAACCUUACCUGAUCUUGACAUCCCGAUGACCGCUUCGUAAUGGAGGCUUUUCUUCGGAACAUCGGUGACAGGUGGUGCAUGGUUGUCGUCAGCUCGUGUCGUGAGAUGUUGGGUUAAGUCCCGCAACGAGCGCGACCCCUAUCUUCAGUAGCCAGCAGGUUAAGCUGGGCACUCUGGAGAGACUGCCAGGGAUAACCUGGAGGAAGGUGGGGAUGACGUCAAAUCAUCAUGCCCCUUAUGACCAGGGCUACACACGUGCUACAAUGGCGUAAACAAAGAGAAGCGAACUCGCGAGGGUAAGCAAAUCUCAAAAAUAACGUCUCAGUUCGGAUUGUAGUCUGCAACUCGACUACAUGAAGCUGGAAUCGCUAGUAAUCGCAGAUCAGAAUGCUGCGGUGAAUACGUUCCCGGGUCUUGCACA
Molecule: ribosomal RNA, 1355 nt
Filed under: uncultured bacterium
Lineage: Bacteria
Description: 16S ribosomal RNA
Rfam family: Bacterial small subunit ribosomal RNA
Source: RNAcentral